This 153-nucleotide ribosomal RNA is filed under the name Triticum aestivum (bread wheat). RNAcentral describes it as "partial small subunit ribosomal RNA". The record is from RNAcentral. Lineage: Eukaryota; Viridiplantae; Streptophyta; Magnoliopsida; Poales; Poaceae.
AUGAAGGCCCUGUGUUGGAACAUUAGAGGGUUCUGCGCUAGGGGGCGCAGAGACCAACUGAAGGACUUAAUGCGCGCUGAAAGAAUUGAUUUUAUCGGGCUUGUUGAGACUCUUAAACCCUCCUUUUCUCCUUCUGAACUAUCGGCGAUUGCU